CUUCGUCCGGCAGGUCGACGAUUCCUACGGGAGGCAGCAGUGGGGAAUAUUGGACAAUGGGCGGAAGCCUGAUCCAGCAACGCCGCGUGAGGGAUGACGGCCUUCGGGUUGUAAACCUCUUUCAGCACAGACGAAGCGCAAGUGACGGUAUGUGCAGAAGAAGGACCGGCCAACUACGUGCCAGCAGCCGCGGUAAUACGUAGGGUCCGAGCGUUGUCCGGAAUUAUUGGGCGUAAAGGGCUCGUAGGCGGUUUGUCGCGUCGGGAGUGAAAUCACCGGGCUUAACUCGGUGCUUGCUUUCGAUACGGGCAGACUAGAGGCAUUCAGGGGAGAACGGAAUUCCUGGUGUAGCGGUGAAAUGCGCAGAUAUCAGGAGGAACACCGGUGGCGAAGGCGGUUCUCUGGGAAUGUCCUGACGCUGAGGAGCGAAAGUGUGGGGAGCGAACAGGAUUAGAUACCCUGGUAGUCCACACCGUAAACGUUGGGCGCUAGGUGUGGGAUCCAUUCCACGGGUUCCGUGCCGCAGCUAACGCAUUAAGCGCCCCGCCUGGGGAGUACGGCCGCAAGGCUAAAACUCAAAGGAAUUGACGG
Molecule: ribosomal RNA, 591 nt
Filed under: uncultured Actinomycetes bacterium
Lineage: Bacteria; Bacillati; Actinomycetota; Actinomycetes
Description: bacterial SSU rRNA
Rfam family: Bacterial small subunit ribosomal RNA
Source: RNAcentral